RNAcentral lists this ribosomal RNA (506 nucleotides) under uncultured bacterium. RNAcentral's name for it is "partial 16S ribosomal RNA". It matches the Rfam family "Bacterial small subunit ribosomal RNA", at positions 31 to 523 of the family's 1533-position model. The record is from RNAcentral.
AUAGAACGCUGGCGGCAGGCUUAACACAUGCAAGUCGAGCGGUAACAGAGAGAAGCUUGCUUCUCUGCUGACGAGCGGCGGACGGGUGAGUAAUGCCUAGGAAUCUGCCUAGUAGUGGGGGAUAACUUGCCGAAAGGUAAGCUAAUACCGCAUACGUCCUACGGGAGAAAGGAGGGGACCUUCGGGCCUUUCGCUAUUAGAUGAGCCUAGGUCGGAUUAGUUAGUUGGUGAGGUAAUGGCCCACCAAGACCGCGAUCCGUAACUGGUCUGAGAGGAUGAUCAGUCACACUGGAACUGGGACACGGUCCAGACUCCUACGGGAGGCAGCAGUGGGGAAUAUUGGACAAUGGGGGGAACCCUGAUCCAGCCAUGCCGCGUGUGUGAAGAAGGUCUUAGGAUUGUAAAGCACUUUAAGUUGGGAGGAAGAGCAGUUAACUAAUAUUUGACUGUUUUGACGUUACCGACAGAAUAAGCACCGGCUAACUUCGUGCCAGCAGCCGCCGUAA